AUCUACAGCCAUAUUACCCUGAAUGUGCUGACCUCUUUUAACCUCAGAAGCUAAGCAGGGUCAGGCCCGUUUAGUACUUGGGUGGGAGACAACCUGGGAAUACUGGGUAUUGUAGGCU
This 118-nucleotide ribosomal RNA is filed under the name Propithecus coquereli (Coquerel's sifaka). The record is from RNAcentral. Lineage: Eukaryota; Metazoa; Chordata; Mammalia; Primates; Indriidae.